AUGCUCACUUCAGCAGCACAUAUACUAAAAUUGGAAGGAUACAGAGAUUAGCAUGGCCCCAGUGCAAGGUGACACACAAAUUCACAAAGACUUCCAUAUUUUU
Molecule: small nuclear RNA, 103 nt
Filed under: Sciurus vulgaris (Eurasian red squirrel)
Lineage: Eukaryota; Metazoa; Chordata; Mammalia; Rodentia; Sciuridae
Source: RNAcentral